RNAcentral lists this ribosomal RNA (617 nucleotides) under Palpada ruficeps. RNAcentral's name for it is "eukaryotic LSU rRNA". It matches the Rfam family "Eukaryotic large subunit ribosomal RNA", at positions 386 to 829 of the family's 3401-position model. The record is from RNAcentral. Lineage: Eukaryota; Metazoa; Arthropoda; Insecta; Diptera; Syrphidae.
AGUUCAAGAGUACGUGAAACUGCUUAGAGGUUAAGCCCGAUGAACCUGAAUAUCCGUUAUGGAAAAUUCAUCAUUAAUAUUAUAAUAUUUAUCAUAUUAUAAAAAUAGUGUGCAAUUUUUCCAUAUAAGGACAUUGUAAUCUGUUAAUGUUAUAAAUAUUUAUCAUAAGAUCCAAUAUAUUAGUUCAUUCAAAUUAUUUAUUUUCGGAUUUUUAACAUAGAAUGAAUUUAUUGGAUUUGAUAAAUCAUUGACAGAUUAAAUUGUAUAUAGUGCGUAAAUUUUUCGGAAUUUUACAAUUUUAAAUUUAUCUAUUGAUUUUUUUAUUAUUGUAUGCACUUAUAUGAUUAACAAUGCGAUAGAUUCAGGAUACCUUCGGGACCCGUCUUGAAACACGGACCAAGGAGUCUAACAUAUGUGCAAGUCAUUGGGUAUUUUUAAUAAAACCCAAUGGCGUAAUUAACUUAACUGUUUAAAAUGGGAUUAGUUUAUAUUUUAUUAUGAAAUAUUAAUUCAAUCCCGGGGCGUUCUAUAUAGUUAUGCAUAAUGAUAUUUAUAUUAUUUAUGUCUCUAACUAGAGCGUACCUUGAGCAUAUAUGCUGUGACCCGAAAGAUGGUGA